Molecule: small nuclear RNA, 20 nt
Filed under: Arabidopsis thaliana (thale cress)
Lineage: Eukaryota; Viridiplantae; Streptophyta; Magnoliopsida; Brassicales; Brassicaceae
Description: snRNA_11226
Source: RNAcentral
UGGAGAGAGUCUGUGCCUCA